UACGUAGGGUGCAAGCGUUGUCCGGAAUUAUUGGGCGUAAAGAGCUCGUAGGCGGUUUGUCGCGUCUGCUGUGAAAACGCGGGGCUCAACUCCGCGCCUGCAGUGGGUACGGGCAGACUAGAGUGCAGUAGGGGAGACUGGAAUUCCUGGUGUAGCGGUGAAAUGCGCAGAUAUCAGGAGGAACACCGAUGGCGAAGGCAGGUCUCUGGGCCACUACUGACGCUGAGAAGCGAAAGCAUGGGGGAGCGAACAGG
RNAcentral lists this ribosomal RNA (254 nucleotides) under uncultured bacterium. RNAcentral describes it as "partial 16S ribosomal RNA". It matches the Rfam family "Bacterial small subunit ribosomal RNA", at positions 524 to 776 of the family's 1533-position model. The record is from RNAcentral.